UGGCAUUGGGAAUNUUUACACAAGCCAGGA
RNAcentral lists this non-coding RNA (30 nucleotides) under Rattus norvegicus (Norway rat). The record is from RNAcentral. Lineage: Eukaryota; Metazoa; Chordata; Mammalia; Rodentia; Muridae.